GACUCCAUAGCUAAGUGGUUAUAGCAUGAGAUUGCAGCAAAUGAUCAGGUGAUCACUUAAUCUCGGGGUCGCGUGUUCGAGUCACGCUGGGGUCU
Armillaria fumosa is the source of this 95-nucleotide non-coding RNA. NCBI's taxonomy places the organism in Eukaryota, Fungi, Basidiomycota, Agaricomycetes, Agaricales, Physalacriaceae. The record is from the annotation of a GenBank genome assembly.